GUGCUUGCUUCGGCAGCACAUAUACUAAAAUUGGAGCAAUACAGAGAUUACCGGGGCCCCUGCAAAAGGAUGACACGCAAAUUGUGAAGCGUUCCAUAUUUUU
Molecule: small nuclear RNA, 103 nt
Filed under: Phocoena sinus (vaquita)
Lineage: Eukaryota; Metazoa; Chordata; Mammalia; Artiodactyla; Phocoenidae
Source: RNAcentral